This 546-nucleotide ribosomal RNA is filed under the name uncultured archaeon. Its description in RNAcentral is "bacterial SSU rRNA". It matches the Rfam family "Archaeal small subunit ribosomal RNA", at positions 333 to 879 of the family's 1478-position model. The record is from RNAcentral.
CACCAGGCGCGAAAACUUUACAAUGCUGGAAACAGCGAUAAGGGGACCUCGAGUGCCAGGUUACAAAUCUGGCUGUCGUGAUGCCUAAAAAGCAUUGCAUAGCAAGGGCCGGGCAAGACCGGUGCCAGCCGCCGCGGUAACACCGGCGGCUCGAGUGGUAACCGUUAUUAUUGGGUCUAAAGGGUCUGUAGCCGGCCGGAUAAGUCUCUUGGGAAAUCCAGCAGCUCAACUGUUGGGCUUUCAGGAGAUACUGUCUGGCUCGAGGCCGGGAGAGGUGAGAGGUACUUCAGGGGUAGGGGUGAAAUCUUGUAAUCCUUGAAGGACCACCAGUCGCGAAGGCGUCUCACCAGAACGGACCUGACGGCAAGGGACGAAAGCUAGGGGCACGAACCGGAUUAGAUACCCGGGUAGUCCUAGCCGUAAACGAUACUCGCUAGGUGUCGGCCACGGUGCGACCGUUGUCGGUGCCGUAGGGAAGCCGUGAAGCGAGCCACCUGGGAAGUACGGCCGCAAGGCUGAAACUUAAAGGAAUUGGCGGGGGAGCAC